Molecule: ribosomal RNA, 406 nt
Filed under: uncultured bacterium
Lineage: Bacteria
Description: partial 16S ribosomal RNA
Rfam family: Bacterial small subunit ribosomal RNA
Source: RNAcentral
AUUGAACGCUGGCGGCAGGCCUAACACAUGCAAGUCGAGCGAGCGGCGGACGGGUGAGUAAUGUAUGGGGAUCUGCCCGAUGGAGGGGGAUAACUACUGGAAACGGUGGAUACUACCGCAUACUAUCGGAUGAACCCACAUGGGAUUAGCUAGUAGGUGGGGUAAAGGCUCACCUAGGCGACGAUCCCUAGCUGGUCUGAGAGGAUGAUCAGCCACACUGGAACGGAGACACGGCCCAGACUCCUACGGGAGGCAGCAGUGGGGAAUAUUGCACAAUGGGCGCAAGCCUGAUGCAGCCAUGCCGCGUGUAUGAAGAAGGCCUUAGGGUUGUAAAGUACUUUCAGCGGGGAGGCGUUACCGACAGAAGAAGCACCGGCUAACUCCGUGCCAGCAGCCGCGGUAAUUC